UACGGAAGGCAGCAGUGGGGAAUAUUGCACAAUGGGCGAAAGCCUGAUGCAGCUAUGCCGCGUGUAUGAAGAAGGCCUUAGGGUUGUAAAGUACUUUCAUCGGGGAGGAAAAACAAAACUAAUAAUUUUAUUUCUUGACGUUACCCGAAAAAGAAGCACCGGCUAACUCCGUGCCAGCAGCCGCGGUAAUACGGAGGGUGCUAGCGUUAAUCAGAAUUACUGGGCGUAAAGAGCACGUAGGUGGUUUUUUAAGUCAGAUGUGAAAUCCCUGGGCUUAACCUAGGAACUGCAUUUUGAAACUGAAAUACUAGAGUAUCGUAGAGGGAGGUAGAAUUCUAGGUGUAGCGGUGAAAUGCGUAGAUAUCUGGAGGAAUACCUGUGGCGAAAGCGGCCUCCUAAACGAAUACUGACACUGAGGUGCGAAAGCGUGGGGAGCAAACAGGGAU
Molecule: ribosomal RNA, 446 nt
Filed under: uncultured bacterium
Lineage: Bacteria
Description: bacterial SSU rRNA
Rfam family: Bacterial small subunit ribosomal RNA
Source: RNAcentral